Molecule: ribosomal RNA, 871 nt
Filed under: uncultured bacterium
Lineage: Bacteria
Description: bacterial SSU rRNA
Rfam family: Bacterial small subunit ribosomal RNA
Source: RNAcentral
UACGGAGGUGGCAAGCGUUACUCGGUUUGACUGGGUGUAAAGGGUCCGCAGGCGGUCAGGUAAGUGAAAGGUGAAAUCCCUCAGCUCAACUGAGGAACUGCCUUUCAAACUGUUUGACUUGAGGCUGGAAGAGGAGAGCGGAACUGCCGGUGUAAGGGUGAAAUCUGUGGAUAUCGGCAGGAACGCCCGUGGGGAAGCCGGCUCUCUGGUCCAGACCUGACGCUCAGGGACGAAAGCCAGGGGAGCAAACAGGAUUAGAUACCCUGGUAGUCCUGGCCGUAAACAAUGGGCACUGGGUGUUUCCGCCUUAGGCGGAGGUGCCGUAGCUAACGCGUUAAGUGCCCCACCUGGGGACUACGGCCGCAAGGCUAAAACUCAAAGGAAUUGACGGGGGCCCGCACAAGCGGUGGAACACGUGGUUCAAUUCGAUGCUACGCGAGGAACCUUACCAGGGCUUGACAUGCUGGAAGUAGCUACCCGAAAGGGUGGGCGACCUGUAACCAGUCAGGAACCAGCACAGGUGCUGCAUGGCUGUCGUCAGCUCGUGCCGUGAGGUGUUCCCUUAAGUGGGAAAACGAGCGCAACCCUCACCCUUAGUUGCCACCUCCGACUUUUCGUCGGAGAGCACUCUAAGGGGACUGCCCGCGUUAAGUGGGAGGAAGGUGGGGACGACGUCAAGUCCGCAUGGCCCUUAUGCCCUGGGCUACACACGUGUUACAAUGCCGGCUACAACGGGAGGCGAAGUCGUAAGGCGGAGCAAAUCUCUAAAAAGCCGGCUCAGUUCGGAUCGAGGGCUGCAACCUGCCCUUGUGAAGUCGGAAUCGCUAGUAAUGGCGCAUCAGCCAUGGCGCCGUGAAUACGUUCCCGGGCC